CAGAAAAUAGUUUAUAUAAAAUAUUAAUUUUGGAGAUUAGUGAUAGAAUUUAAAUUCUUUUUUUGA
Molecule: transfer RNA, 66 nt
Filed under: Gilpinia sp. 3 GYN-2022c
Lineage: Eukaryota; Metazoa; Arthropoda; Insecta; Hymenoptera; Diprionidae
Also listed under: 1 other name
Description: tRNA-Pro
Source: RNAcentral